This 403-nucleotide ribosomal RNA is filed under the name bacterium. RNAcentral describes it as "partial 16S ribosomal RNA". It matches the Rfam family "Bacterial small subunit ribosomal RNA", at positions 355 to 776 of the family's 1533-position model. The record is from RNAcentral.
UGGGGAAUAUUGCACAAUGGGGGAAACCCUGAUGCAGCGACGCCGCGUGAACGAAGAAGGUAUUCGUAUCGUAAAGUUCUGUCCUAUGGGAAGAUAAUGACAGUACCAUAGAAGAAAGCUCCGGCUAAAUACGUGCCAGCAGCCGCGGUAAUACGUAUGGAGCGAGCGUUGUCCGGAAUUAUUGGGCGUAAAGGGUACGCAGGCGGUUUAAUAAGUCGAAUGUUAAAGAUCGGGGCUCAACCCCGCAAAGCAUUGGAAACUGAUAAACUUGAGUAGUGGAGAGGAAAGUGGAAUUCCUAGUGUAGUGGUGAAAUACGUAGAUAUUAGGAGGAAUACCAGUAGCGAAGGCGACUUUCUGGACACAAACUGACGCUGAGAUACGAAAGCGUGGGGAGCAAACAGG